CUUCGUGCUCAUAGCGACGUGGACCCACCCGAUCCCAUCCCGAACUCGGAAGUUAAGCACGUCAGCGCCGAUGAUAGUUGAGGGGAAGCCCUCUGCAAAAGUAGGUCAGCGCGAGGA
This 117-nucleotide ribosomal RNA is filed under the name Truepera sp. The record is from RNAcentral. Lineage: Bacteria; Thermotogati; Deinococcota; Deinococci; Trueperales; Trueperaceae.